This 468-nucleotide ribosomal RNA is filed under the name uncultured bacterium. RNAcentral's name for it is "partial 16S ribosomal RNA". It matches the Rfam family "Bacterial small subunit ribosomal RNA", at positions 28 to 507 of the family's 1533-position model. The record is from RNAcentral.
GACGAACGCUGGCGGCGUGCUUAACACAUGCAAGUCGAACGGAAAGGCCCUGCUUUUGUGGGGUGCUCGAGUGGCGAACGGGUGAGUAACACGUGAGUAACCUGCCCUUGACUUUGGGAUAACUUCAGGAAACUGGGGCUAAUACCGGAUAGGAGCUCCUGCUGCAUGGUGGGGGUUGGAAAGUUUCGGCGGUUGGGGAUGGACUCGCGGCUUAUCAGCUUGUUGGUGGGGUAGUGGCUUACCAAGGCUUUGACGGGUAGCCGGCCUGAGAGGGUGAACGGCCACAUUGGGACUGAGAUACGGCCCAGACUCCUACGGGAGGCAGCAGUGGGGAAUAUUGCACAAUGGGCGGAAGCCUGAUGCAGCAACGCCGCGUGCGGGAUGACGGCCUUCGGGUUGGAAACCGCUUUCGCCUGUGACGAAGCGUGAGUGACGGUAAUGGGUAAAGAAGCACCGGCUAACUACGUG